AUUGAACGCUGGCGGCAUGCCUUACACAUGCAAGUCGAACGGCAGCACGGGAGCAAUCCUGGUGGCGAGUGGCGAACGGGUGAGUAAAGUAUCGGAACGUGCCCAGUCGUGGGGGAUAACGUAGCGAAAGUUACGCUAAUACCGCAUACGAUCUAUGGAUGAAAGCGGGGGAUCGCAAGACCUCGCGCGAUUGGAGCGGCCGAUAUCAGAUUAGGUAGUUGGUGGGGUAAAGGCUCACCAAGCCGACGAUCUGUAGCCGGUCUGAGAGGACGACCAGCCACGCUGGGACUGAGACACGGCCCAGACUCCUACGGGAGGCAGCAGUGGGGAAUUUUGGACAAUGGGCGAAAGCCUGAUCCAGCCAUGCCGCGUGCAGGAUGAAGGCCUUCGGGUUGUAAACUGCUUUUGUACGGAACGAAAAGGUUUGGCCUAAUAAGCUGAGCUCAUGACGGUACCGUAAGAAUAAGCACCGGCUAACUACGUGCCAGCCGCCGCAGUAA
Molecule: ribosomal RNA, 500 nt
Filed under: uncultured bacterium
Lineage: Bacteria
Description: partial 16S ribosomal RNA
Rfam family: Bacterial small subunit ribosomal RNA
Source: RNAcentral